CGCGUAGGCGGCCAAUUAAGUCAAAUGUGAAAUCCCUGAGCUUAACUUAGGAAUUGCAUUCGAUACUGGUUAGCUAGAGUAUGGGAGAGGAUGGUAGAAUUCCAGGUGUAGCGGUGAAAUGCGUAGAGAUCUGGAGGAAUACCGAUGGCGAAGGCAGCCAUCUGGCCUAAUACUGACACUGAGGUGCGAAAGCAUGGGGAGCAAACAGGAUUCGAUACCCUCGUA
Molecule: ribosomal RNA, 225 nt
Filed under: uncultured Acinetobacter sp.
Lineage: Bacteria; Pseudomonadati; Pseudomonadota; Gammaproteobacteria; Moraxellales; Moraxellaceae
Description: partial 16S ribosomal RNA
Rfam family: Bacterial small subunit ribosomal RNA
Source: RNAcentral